CCUACGGGUGGCAGCAGUAGGGAAUAUUGGGCAAUGGGGGAAACCCUGACGCAGCAACGCCGCGUGGAGGAUGAAGGUUUUCGGAUUGUAAACUCCUUUUGUCAGAGACGAUAUUGAUGGUGUUUCAUGAAUAAUCAGCGACUACCUCCGAGCCAGCAGCCGCGGUAAUACGGAGGGGGCAAGCGUUAGUCGGAUUCACUGGGCGUAAAGAGCGCGUAGGCGGGAUAGCAAGUCAGAUGUGAAAUCCUAUGGCUUAACCAUCGGACUGCAUUUGAAACUGUUAUUCUAGAGUAUUGGAGAGGUAGGUGGAAUUCUUGGUGUAGGGGUAAAAUCCGUAGAGAUUAAGAGGAAUACUCGUGGCGAAGGCGAUCUGCUAGACCAUAACUGACGCUGAUGCGCGAAAGCGUGGGGAGCAAACAGGAUUAGAUACCCGGGUAGUC
RNAcentral lists this ribosomal RNA (440 nucleotides) under uncultured bacterium. Its description in RNAcentral is "partial 16S ribosomal RNA". It matches the Rfam family "Bacterial small subunit ribosomal RNA", at positions 338 to 795 of the family's 1533-position model. The record is from RNAcentral.